Molecule: ribosomal RNA, 929 nt
Filed under: Lysinibacillus macroides
Lineage: Bacteria; Bacillati; Bacillota; Bacilli; Caryophanales; Bacillaceae
Description: bacterial SSU rRNA
Rfam family: Bacterial small subunit ribosomal RNA
Source: RNAcentral
UUCGGGUUGAAACCUUUGUGGAGAAAAACAGUCCGUAGUAACCGCUGGACUGGCGGUCCCUAGUAAAAGCCCGGGCUAAUUUGUCCCAGACCCGCGGUAAUAAGUAGGGGCAAAGGUUGUUCGGAAUUAUUGGGCGUAAAGCGCGUGCAGGGGGUCUUUAAAGUCUGAUGUGAAACCCGCGGCUCCCCCGGGGAGGGUCAUUGGAAUCUGGGGGACUUGAGUGCAGAAGAGGAAAGUGGAAUUCCGAGUGUAGCGGUGAAAUGCGUAGAUAUUUGGAGGACCUCCAGUGGGAAGGAGACUCUCUGGUCUGCAUCUGCCGUUGAGGCGCGAAACCGUGGGGAGCAACCAGGAUUAGAUACCUUGGUAGUCCACGCCGUAAACGAUGAGUGCUAAGUGUUAGGGGGUUUCCGCCCGUUAGUGCUGCAGCUAACGCAUUAAGCACUCCCCCUGGGGAGUACGGUCGCAAGACUGAAACUCAAAGGAAUUGCGGGGGGCCCGCCCAAGCGGUGGAGCAUGUGGUUUAAUUGGAAGCAACGCGAAGACCCUUCCCAGGUCUUGCCAUCCCGUUGACCACUGUAGAGAUAUAGUUUCCCCUUCGGGGGCAACGGCAACAGGUGGUGCAUGGUUGUCGUCAGCUCGUGUCGUGAGAUGUUGGGUUAAGUCCCGCAAGGAGCGCCACCCUUGAUAUUAGUUACCAUCAUUUAGUUGGGCAUUCUAAGGUGACUGCCGGUGACAACCCGGAGGAAGGUGGGGAUGACGUCAAAUCAUCAUGCCCCUUAUGACAUGGGCUCCACACGUGCUCCAAUGGAGGAUCCAAGGGGUUCCCAACUCGCGAGAUGGAGCUAAUCCGAUAAACUUGUUCUCAGUUCGGAUGGUAUGCUGCAACUCGCUUACAUGAAUCCGGAAUCGCUAGUAAUCGAGGAUCAGCA